GGGUGGGGCCUGUAGCUCAGAGGAUUAGAGCACGUGGCUACUAACCACAUAUCGGGGGUUUGAAUCCAUCCUCUCCCU
Molecule: non-coding RNA, 78 nt
Organism: Datura stramonium (jimsonweed)
Lineage: Eukaryota; Viridiplantae; Streptophyta; Magnoliopsida; Solanales; Solanaceae
Source: the annotation of a GenBank genome assembly